UUUAUAUUUCGUAUUUGUAUUAAUUUGUUUCUAACAUUAUACUUGUGCUUAGGAACAUUAUGAUGGUGUUGCAUUAUCAGCAGCUUGUGUAAUUUAUUGAGGCAUGACAGAAGUGUAUGGGAAUCGUAUCUGCUGCAAAUUGCACAACUUUACACACUCCUCACAAUGUCUAAUUGACAAUGAAGUUAGUUUGUUUGCCUGCUUUUAACAUUUUGCCAACAUGCAUCGUUGUGAGCGAUCGACAACAUCAUCGUAAUAUGGAUCACUGGUACGCGGCUGAUGUAAUCUUUUAAGGAAUUACGGAUUCCAUAUUAAUAUAGAUUUUAUAUAACAUCUUUCGUUAUUCUUUUCGGUUCAAACUUAAAAAUGUAUUUAACUUUUUUUUUUUUAAAAAUAUCAAUUUCUAUUCAAUAUUUGACUAACUCUUGUUUUUUGGCUUUCAUUAUUAUUAUGUUAUUAUUAUAUAUGUUUAAUUAAUUUAUAUAAAUAUUUUUUUUUGGUUUUUAUUUAACUAUUUUAUCCAUUUAAAAAAAUUAAUUAUACUAAAAUAAAGUUUUAACAACAUGGUUUUGUUUUACACAGAUUUCAUUUAUGUAAAUAUUUUUAUACUUGUAUGUAUGUAAUAAUUUGCUUUGUUAAUGAUUAUAAAAAAAAUGUAUUUACAUUUAUUACAAAUAAAUUACAUUAAUUAUAUUUAAUAAACGUUUCUGUUUUUUCUAUUAGAUAACAAUAAAAUAAAUUUAAUAAUUUAUUCAUUUA
Long non-coding RNA from Calliphora vicina (urban bluebottle blowfly), 759 nucleotides. RefSeq lists it as uncharacterized. Lineage: Eukaryota; Metazoa; Arthropoda; Insecta; Diptera; Calliphoridae. The record is from RefSeq and is a predicted model, not a curated record. The transcript has 2 exons.